Molecule: long non-coding RNA, 5161 nt
Filed under: Triticum aestivum (bread wheat)
Lineage: Eukaryota; Viridiplantae; Streptophyta; Magnoliopsida; Poales; Poaceae
Description: long non-coding RNA (TAES_LNC009991)
Source: RNAcentral
CCGUGGAUUUCUUGGCCGCGUGACUCCUUCGACAUGGUACGUAAUUGCUUCUGAUCGACAUUCCUCUCGUGUUUUGCUAGUGGCUGCGUGCUGAGUUAUUUGUAUUUCAACAAAGGUGGUGGUCGUAUUGCAUUCCCAUUUUCUCAUUCCAUUUGUUCGACGCUUGGACCAACCAGGCAUUUGCUGUAGCUAGUAAUUCGGCAAUUCACCUCCAACUUUAGUGGUUUCUAAAAUCGAUGAUCCAAAGCAAAAAGAUGACUGCACAUACUAUCUUCCCUUGAAUGGACUCCAUUUUCAACCUUUCACCGAUAAAGCAAGAUUGUCAUUUCACAUGCUUACACUCUGUUUCAUGCUUGUGAAACUUAAAGCAUAUAUAAUAUACAGAGACCAUUUAAAGGUCCUUGCAAAAGAAAUCUAAAGGAAGAUCAAUUUUACAAAAUAUCUUUCCAUAAAGAACCACGAAAGCUCAAAAUGGCAACCUGUUAGGCUCUGUACAAAGUACAAAACAAACUCAUUGACGAAACUAAGAAAGUUACAUGUAUAUCUUGCACAAAAAAUACGAGACAUCUAUUAUCGUAUCUUGGCUGAUCUUUGCAUCUGCGGCUCAGCAUCUAUACUGGCCAGGCAGGAGACUACUUCCAUGAUGGUUGGCCUCAUGAAUUGAUUGUGGUCGACACAUUUGGAAGCAGCUUCAAGCACCUUCAGCAUUUGUUCUUCAUAUUCUGCGCCUCUAAGUGUUGGAUCCAGGACCUCAACUUGCUUUCCCUUGGACCUCAUCUCGAGCACCCAUGGGACAAGUUCUUUUGAUGUAGAUAGGACUGAAACAGGCCGCAUUCCAGUGAGCAGCUCAAGCAGGACUACUCCAAAACUGUACAUAUCACCUCUCAACGUAGCAACCCAUGCUUGCCCAUAUUCGGGGGGAAUGUAACCCAUAGUGCCGACCAACUCAGUUGUAACAUGCGUUUGGUUGGGAAGGAUCAAUCUGGCUAGCCCAAAAUCUGCAACAUAAGCUUUAAAUUCUUUGUCCAGUAGGAUGUUACUGGAUUUGAUGUCACGGUGGACAAUUUGAGGCUUGCAGACAUCAUGGAUAUGAGAAAGGCCAAGGCUUGCUCCUUGCGCGAUCUUCAGCCGAGUUGGCCAGUCAAGACAUGAGCUACCAUCGUCAUCCCUGUUAUGAAGCCAAUCAUCCAGGCUGCCGUUCUCCAUGUAGGAAUAUAUGAGGAGCCUUGAGUUUCCAUGGAUGCAGUAACCCCACAGAGGUACAAGAUUUUCAUGUUGUGCCAUGGAGAGAGCAUCAACCUCUGCACUGAACUCUCUUUCCAUAAGACACAUUUCAUCGCUGAGCCUUUUUAUUGCCAGCUUCGAGCCAUCACAUAGCUCUGCCUUGUAUACUAAUCCAUAACCUCCACAUCCAAUGAUGUUCUCCUUGUCAAAAUUGUGUGUAGCUUUCAAAAUGUCAGUGAAUUUGAGCUUGCUUUCUUCUCCCUUGCCUCGUGACAUCACUACCAAUGUUUGCUCUGAACUGGAGUUGGAUGAAGUUGAUUCGAUAUAUCCAUUGUUCUUGUCUGUUGUAUUUUUUACUGUAAAACCAUUGACUCUGAUUGAGACAAGGAGACGCCCCAGCAACAAAAGAACAGCAAUGCUUCCAAAGAACACUCCAAAUGUAAUUGCAAAAAGAGCCUUCUUAUGCCGUUCUUUGGAGGGGAUCAGAGGUGGUGAAGCCGAACCACAUUUGUGAAUUAGCAUAGAGCCACAGAGCUUUGGAUUCCCAUCGAAACUAGAGUUCUGAAACGUAUUAAACUGACCUCCAGAUGGAAUAGGCCCUUCUAGGUCAUUGUUAGAAAUGUUGAAUGCUGAAAGGAAAUGCAGGCUGUUCAAUGCAGCUGGGAUUCCACCUGUGAGGUUGUUGGUCGACAAGUCUAACACCUGCAGGUUUGUGAGGUUGCAUAUUGAUUGUGGGAUCUGUCCUUUUGAGUCAUUGAAGCUGAAAUUGAGUGAACAGAGGGCUUUCAACUGACCAAUCUCCAAGGGCAUCUCACCAGUUAAUUUAUUGUUACUUAGAUCCAGCACUUUUGGGAAAGCCAUUGGUAACCGGUAUUGAAGUGAUGGAGCUACAUAAAUUGGUAGCUCAAAGAAUCUGGGGUCCAAAUGGGUUGCAUUAUUCUCUGAUCUUAGCAUUGGCAUCUUCAUUAAGGCUGCUGGGAUUUCCCCUGUCAUGCUAUUAUUUGAUAUGUCUAGAUAGAAGAGGAAUUUUAGGCUGUUGAUCCAGUAAGGUAUCUGUCCUGUUAAUUGAUUGUUUUCUAAAAAUAACAUCUCCAAAUUUGUCAGCUUUGAUAACCAAUGUGGUACUUUCCCCAACAGUGAGCAAUCUGUUAUUGCUAGAACCUGAAGAUUCUCAAAACUGACAAUGAUGUCAUCGUCUGGCAUGGUCUCAUUCAUGAAGUUGAGCCCAAUAAGAAGGGUGGUGAGACUCUUGGAUCUUGCAAGUAUCGGAAGUGUACUUGUGAUAUUUGUAAGAUUGUUGUUAACAAGUGAUAGGAAUGAGAGGGAUUUCAGAUUGCCUAUUUUUUCUGACAGCUGGCCAUGGAAAUUAUUGAAGGAUAGCCGAAGUGCAGUUACGUUGCUGCACGAAUAGAUGCUUUCUGGAAUUUUUCCGGUGAAGUUGUUCCACCCAAGAUCUGAAGUUUUUAGAUUGGGUAGAUUGGAGAAGUUGACCUUGUCGAGCUCUCCAGAGAACAAGUUGUUCUUGAGGUCAAUGGUUAUGAGAUUUGUGCAGUUGCUCAGGGUUGAUGGUAGAUCCUCAGACAUGUUGUUAUUGUUCAAAUGGAGCUCCUCCAAUCUGUGAAGCUGACCUAUAGAUUCUGGCACCUUUCCACUGAAAUUGUUCUCUCCAAGAUCAAGGGUUAUGAGAUUACUGAGACUGACAAUACGUGCAUCUUCAAGUGUUCCUUGUAAAGUAUUCUUGGGGAAAGAGAGGUACUCCAACGAGCUAGCAUUAAAAAGUUCAUCUGGUAGAGGCCCACUAAGGUUGUUGUGGCCAACCUUGAGCACUCUGAGCUUGGGACAACUACCAAGUCCAGACGGAAUUCUUCCACUGAAUAGGUUGUAACAGAGUUCAAGCACAGUGAGCAAUGGCAAACUGGUGCAUAAAUGACUUGGCAGCUGCCCAGUAAAGCUGUUCUUGCUGGCAUUGAGUGCGACCAAAUUUUUCAUCACUUGCCAUGUGGAGGACGGAAAUUGUCCUGUAAACAAAUUGCUCGAGAUGUUCAGUACCUUCAGUGGCCGGGGAGGAGUCAAAGAUGAUAACUCUUGCAGAUCUCCACUGAGGCGGUUAAAGCUGACGUCUAUGGCGACGAUGCUGCCGGAUGACAUCAAUUCCUGCGGUAGGCCACCGUAUAGCAGAUUGUUUGACAGGUUGAGGCGCAGUAAUCCAGUGAGAUUCCCAAGAGAAGCUGAGAUGUGCCCCUGAAGACUCCUAGAAGCCAGCAAGACAUCCGUAACAAUCCCAUCUGUACUGCAGGUGAUCCCUUCCCACUGGCAGCAAUCCGUGCCAUGCUGCCAGGACGCAGCGAGGCCACCGUGUUGUGAGAGCCCGGCAAGGAACUGGUGAAGGGAGCCCUGCUCCUGCUCUCUGCAGGAACUGGUAGGAGAGGCCAAUCCGAUCAGCAGCACAAGAGCAAGGCCAAGGGAAGGUAUGUGCAGUAUCUUGCUGUAAGCCUUGCUGGAAAAAUGAAGUGUCUGCAUGGUUUUCGGGUGAAACUAGCACGGGAACGAGAGGUUAUGUUGUCCCCUGACUGGAUAAAGCAUCAAUGGUGGUGUAACCAUGAAAGAGCAUGAUGGUAAGGAAAGAAGCAGAUCUUUCUACCAUUUGUUCUGUGCCUUGUAGUGGUACUAACCACGCUUGGAUUUUACACAACUGCCCCCAGCCCACCAGGCAGCUUCCUAGUUCACACUGAUGUUUCAGUGUUUCACUAUAGGUUGCAUGCUGGAAUCUACUGAAAAGUCAAUUGCCGAACACCUUCCAUACAAAAAAAAAUUGCAUUGUAGAUUUUCUAGUCCUGCUUGACUUAAUUCUCGAUGAUUUUUUACAGCAUUCCUUAGUUUAGUUGCCCUGACAUCACUUCUCUAACUGGCUUUCACUAAACAAUUUGACCUGCUUACCACUAGCACUGAAUUAAACUAUUGCUUCUUGAUGCAUCAUUUGCCUUUUGGGAACAGAAGAAGGCACGUUUUUGCCACAACGGUUGCUGAAGAUCUGCAGGAAAUUCAGCCAUCGAGAUAGUAUACGGAUGAUUAUUACCGGAAGGCGCUUGCACUUGAGCUUGAGAGCGAUCAUCGGUGUCUCUGUCAGUGUGUGAACAAACCCAAGUGGAGGGCCAGAAGAAGUGCGAUAUUUCUUUCUUGCUUUAUGGACGGGGUGAAUGGUUGACCUGCUGGAGUGAUCUGUUCUCCGUUCCAUCCUCUUGACCUGAGGCAUUAACUUCCUUAUCGCGCGUGCGAGCUUCGUCUGAUGGAUACAUUUGCUGUUAGUUUCCAUUCUCCUGGCUCCAGUUGCGCACUAUUGUGGACCAUGGACUCUGGUUUUCAUCUGAAUUUGGAAGCGGUUGAAAAUAAACAGGGUAGCGUGUGUGCUCUGGUAGUGCCGGGCUGGUUCUGAUGCUUGUCAGCUUGUGGUUGUGUGGAAAUGGUUCUUUUGAACCGAACCGUGUAUUAGUUAUAGUUUUAAUACUUUAGUUGAAUAUAUAAUCGGUGUUGUAUAAGAAUCACAUUUCAUUUUGCGUAUACAAGUUUAGUUUAGUUUUUGGAUGAUGAUGAUGAUGUGCUGAUGUUAGCUGCACUGUAUCGUCAUUAUUUCUUAGAUAUUGCGCUCUAUCAUUGAUCAGUGUGCAUGUGGUUAAUGAUUUCCCACUCUGACUGAGCAAAAAUAUAGCAAGUGGCUGACGCUCUACAUGAUUAGGACUCGCUGCAGAGUUGGCAGUGCAGCCCCUUUUGUUGUCAUGUUUAGCAUGUAUCAGUGAUACCUCUGUUUUGUUCUGUCAGGUGCAGCAAGGCAGGAUUUGUGCAUGUUAUAAUUAUCAGAUUCAGUGCGGAUUGAAGAACAUAACACAAGAGACUGGCAACAGUUUAUUUAUUUGUUUAUUUUGCGUUGAGCCACACGUUG